This 453-nucleotide ribosomal RNA is filed under the name Staphylococcus saprophyticus. RNAcentral's name for it is "bacterial SSU rRNA". It matches the Rfam family "Bacterial small subunit ribosomal RNA", at positions 35 to 475 of the family's 1533-position model. Lineage: Bacteria; Bacillati; Bacillota; Bacilli; Caryophanales; Staphylococcaceae. The record is from RNAcentral.
GCUGGCGGCGUGCCUAAUACAUGCAAGUCGAGCGAACAGAUAAGGAGCUUGCUCCUUUGACGUUAGCGGCGGACGGGUGAGUAACACGUGGGUAACCUACCUAUAAGACUGGGAUAACUUCGGGAAACCGGAGCUAAUACCGGAUAACAUUUGGAACCGCAUGGUUCUAAAGUGAAAGAUGGUUUUGCUAUCACUUAUAGAUGGACCCGCGCCGUAUUAGCUAGUUGGUAAGGUAACGGCUUACCAAGGCGACGAUACGUAGCCGACCUGAGAGGGUGAUCGGCCACACUGGAACUGAGACACGGUCCAGACUCCUACGGGAGGCAGCAGUAGGGAAUCUUCCGCAAUGGGCGAAAGCCUGACGGAGCAACGCCGCGUGAGUGAUGAAGGGUUUCGGCUCGUAAAACUCUGUUAUUAGGGAAGAACAAACGUGUAAGUAACUGUGCACGUCUG